UACGGGAGGCAGCAGUGGGGAAUAUUGCACAAUGGGCGCAAGCCUGAUGCAGCCAUGCCGCGUGUAUGAAGAAGGCCUUCGGGUUGUAAAGUACUUUCAGUCGUGAGGAAGGUGUUAAGGUUAAUAACCUUAGCAAUUGACGUUAGCGACAGAAGAAGCACCGGCUAACUCCGUGCCAGCAGCCGCGGUAAUACGGAGGGUGCGAGCGUUAAUCGGAAUUACUGGGCGUAAAGGGCACGCAGGCGGUUAAUUAAGUUGGAUGUGAAAUCCCCGGGCUUAACCUGGGAAUGGCAUUCAAGACUGGUUAGCUAGAGUCUUGUAGAGGGGGUAGAAUUCCAUGUGUAGCGGUGAAAUGCGUAGAGAUGUGGAGGAAUACCGGUGGCGAAAGGCGGCCCCCUGGACAAAAGACUGACGCUCAUGUGCGAAAGCGUGGGGAGCAAACAGGGAUUAGAUACC
RNAcentral lists this ribosomal RNA (456 nucleotides) under uncultured bacterium. RNAcentral's name for it is "bacterial SSU rRNA". It matches the Rfam family "Bacterial small subunit ribosomal RNA", at positions 340 to 786 of the family's 1533-position model. The record is from RNAcentral.